RNAcentral lists this ribosomal RNA (406 nucleotides) under uncultured bacterium. Its description in RNAcentral is "partial 16S ribosomal RNA". It matches the Rfam family "Bacterial small subunit ribosomal RNA", at positions 29 to 526 of the family's 1533-position model. The record is from RNAcentral.
AUUGAACGCUGGCGGCAGGCUUAACACAUGCAAGUCGAGCGAGCGGCGGACGGGUGAGUAAUGUCUGGGAAACUGCCUGAUGUAGGGGGUUCACUACUGGAAACUGUAGCUAAUACCGCAUACCAUAAGAUGUGCCCAGAUGGGAUUAGCUAGUAGGUGGGGUAAUGGCUCACCGAGGCGACGAUCCCUAGCUGGUCUGAGAGGAUGACCAGCCAAACGGGAACUGAGACACGGUGCAGAGUCCUACGUGAGGAAGCAGUGGGGAAUAGUGGACAAGGGGCGCAAGCCUGAUGCAGCCAUGCCGGGUGUGUGAAGAAGGCCUUCAGGUUGUAGGGCGCUAUCGGCGAGGAGGGGUUACGCGCAGAAGAAGCACCGGCUAACGCCGUGCCAGCAGCCGCGGUAAUUC